GUGGCCUGUUUUAGGUGCCUCACCCUGUAUACUUAAUGAUAAAAUAUACGUUUUCGAAUUCUUGUGUUAUCUUUACUUUCGCAGCAUUUUUAAGCUACAGUUAAAGCCCAUUAAUACCGGUACUAAAUCUUUCCAUAAUCAACACGAAUUUCUCUUGCCGAUAAGGUAUCAACAUGUAAUUCAGCACGAAAACGUCAUAACGUGUGAUCGAGAUUUGCUACAACAGCCUGUAUCACGCAACAAGCUAAUGAAAGGACUAAAAUAUAAUAAAAUAAUAAAAUACGCAUGUAUCGAAUGAUGUGUCGAAGGAAAUAUCGUCCUUCUGGACAUUACCAACUAGAGCCAACAGAUCAAAGACGAUGCAUCCGCCGAUACCUGAUGACCGAACUGAGGCUCCGAUGGCACGCACGCGGCGCACACAUGGGAACGCUAAUUCAUCACGCGCGCACAUAUUAAAUAGACGCAAUCAAUCCGCGCCACCUCCAUGGUACACGACCCGGUGCUGUACAUAUGAUGCAUUUCCACGUCAUCAACUUCGUUUGCGAAACGGCAAUUUCUCUGCUGCACCGCGACAGUUUGCACUGGGUUUUCGUGCAUGCCGUGAAAUCCAAUUGUAAUUGAGCACGUGUACUUAGGCAAGAAAUAUGAAACUAUGAUUUUCCCUGUUUCAGAGACGAUUUGUCCAGCUUUCAAUGUUUAAUAUAAAAGCAGGCACGCACCGUCAAUUGCGGCACGAGAGACCUGGUUGUAUCGUUCAUCACGAUGUCGAUAACGAGAUCACUGUGCUUCACAGUACGGUUGACAAAAAACCGCAAACGUUGCACGGAAUUUUCAUCUGAAUAUACACGAAUGUAUUGCGAAUGAGUAGACGAGGAUUGUAUUCUCCUCCUAUGCGGUCGCUCGUACAUUGAAAUUUCGAACUUAUCGGAAAUAAUAAUAUAAAAAUGGCAAACUGUAAUUUUUGUAAAGUAGCGUAUGUACAUUCUACAUGUAUAUAUCUUAUCGGAAAUGGGCUGCUAACUUCUUCGUAAGCAUCGAGCAGCUUUUCCUCGGACACGUUUUUACUCUUUAUCGCAAGAAAAUUUCCCAGCGUGCUGGGUUGCCUUAAAAGAAAUUAAUUAAUUCAACGAGCGAGUAAGUAAACUACAAAAAAGCAAUGAAAGAUUAAAACUUCCUGCAUUUGUACCUGCUACAUUAAUAUUUAAUAUUAAUUAUUCUAUCCAA
This is a long non-coding RNA of Ooceraea biroi (clonal raider ant), 1224 nucleotides long. RefSeq lists it as uncharacterized. The record is from RefSeq and is a predicted model, not a curated record. Lineage: Eukaryota; Metazoa; Arthropoda; Insecta; Hymenoptera; Formicidae.